This 1893-nucleotide ribosomal RNA is filed under the name Triticum aestivum (bread wheat). RNAcentral's name for it is "partial small subunit ribosomal RNA". The record is from RNAcentral. Lineage: Eukaryota; Viridiplantae; Streptophyta; Magnoliopsida; Poales; Poaceae.
AUGGAUUGGUCAUCUCUCACCUGUUCCGCCGCCGUCCUAAUCAUUCUGCUCCUGCCGUUGGGUGCGUCUGAUGACCGGCUUGUCCCCAGCAAGCCGCUCUCCCCUGGCAUAACCGUCGUCUCGGAUGGCGGUGACUUCGCCUUGGGCUUCUUCUUCUCAUCCGGCUCGACGCCGUCCAACCUGUACCUUGGCAUCUGGUACAGCAGCAUCCCCGAGCUCACUGUGGUGUGGGUUGCCAACCGGGGAACCCCAGUCACAAAUGGUACCUCCUCUGCACCGAUUCUCACCCUCACCAAUGCCUCCAAUCUUGUUCUCUCUGACAGUGAUGGUGGUCAAGUUGUUUGGAUGACCAAUGUGGGCGCUGCCUCGAGCUCCUCUUCGACAGAGGCGGUGCUUCUGAACACCGGUAACCUCAUCAUUCGGUCACCCAACGGCACCAUGUUGUGGCAGAGUUUCGACCACCCAACCGACACGUUCCUGCCCGGCAUGAAGAUGCGAAUCAGGUAUAGGACACGCGCCGGUGAGCGCCUGGUGUCCUGGAAAGACGCUGGAGACCCCUCGCCUGGGAGCUUCUCCUACGGGUGCGAUCCGGCCACGUCCAUCCAGAUGUUCCUUUGGGACGGGUCGCGCCCGGUGUACCGCAGCACCCCGUGGACCGGGUUCCGGGUGAAGAGCGAAGACGAGUACCUGUUGACAAAAACCAGUGCUAUCAUCAUAAACCUGGCUUUCGUCAACAACGAUGAGGAGAGCUACACGAUGUUUACCGUCUCUGAUGGUGCCUGGCACACCAGGUUCGUGCUGACCUACUCCGGCAAGCUCCAGUUCCAAAGCUGGAACAGUAGUUCUUCCACGUGGGUAGUUUUUGGGCAGUGGUCACCCCACGAAUGCAACCGCUACGGCUACUGUGGCCCGAAUGGCUAUUGCGAUGAGACGGUGUUGCCUAUUCCGACGUGCAAGUGCUUUGACGGUUUCAAGCCGACGAGAACGGAGGAGUGGGACAAUGGUGAGUUCUGGAAAGGGUGCCAACGGAAAGAGGCAUUGCGUUGCAGCGAUGGUUUUGUGCCAUUGUCGGGGAUGAAGCCACCGGAUAGGUUCGCGAUCGUCGGAAACACGUCGUUGAGGGAGUGCGCCGCGGCAUGUGGUCGCAACUGCUCCUGCAUGGCGUAUGCAUACGCCAACCUAAGCAGCAGCAUUGAAAACAGAGACCUGACAAGGUGUUUGGUGUGGGUCGGGGAGUUGGUUGACACCGGGAGGCUAGGCGCAAGCACCGCCAGCGACACACUCUAUCUACGGCUUGCAGGCUUAGAUGCAGCAACUGGUAAAAGGACAAGGAGCAAUGCCGUGAAAGUUGUGUUGGCGGUUUUAGGAGGUGCUGCUCUGAUACUCAUAUGCAUUUCCAUUGCAUGGUUGAAAUUCAAAGGCAACGACAGAAACCAGGAAAAACACAAGAAGUUGCCAUCGGAUGGUUCAAGUGAUCUUGAAUUUCCAUUUAUAAGAUUUGAGGAAAUUGCCCUAGCAACACACAACUUCUCCGAAACAUGUAUGAUUGGACAUGGAGGCUUUGGCAAAGUUUAUAAGGGAACAGUAGGUGGUCAAGAAAUUGCUGUCAAAAGGCUAAGUAGGGAUUCUCAACAAGGAGCAAAUGAAUUCAGGAAUGAAGUAAUUCUUAUUGCCAAAUUGCAACACAAAAAUUUGGUUCGACUUCUUGGAUGUUGUGACAAGGGAGAUGAAAAGUUAUUGAUCUAUGAGUAUUUGCCUAAUAAAAGCUUCCCUUUUUGGUAUAUUCUAGCAACACACCAAUUUUCAUGUAACAACUCAACAUAUUUUUCUUACAUUUGCUUUUGUCUUAAGAUGAUUCAAGAAAACAUUUGUUGGAUUGGGGGACACGGUUAA